Non-coding RNA from Nicotiana tabacum (common tobacco), 177 nucleotides. The record is from RefSeq and is a predicted model, not a curated record. Lineage: Eukaryota; Viridiplantae; Streptophyta; Magnoliopsida; Solanales; Solanaceae.
CACAACAGAGCUUCCAUAGCUCUCAAAGAAGUUCCUUAGGGUUUUGAAGCAAGUCCAUCAUCUGCAACUCAAAAUUAAGAAGCGAACACAUCAAUGCGAUCCUUACGACAUAGCUAUACAAGCAUAAGGAGGGGUGUGGAUCAAAAGAAACAAGGUUUGGAAGCAAGAACACAAGAG